UACAGGGGGGGCAAGCGUUGUUCGGAAUUACUGGGCGUAAAGGGUUCGUAGGUGGCCAACUAAGUCAUACGUGAAAUCCCUCAGCUUAACUGGGGAACUGCGUCUGAUACUGGUUGGCUUGAGUGCAGGAGAGGAACGCGGAAUUCCAGGUGUAGCGGUGAAAUGCGUAGAUAUCUGGAGGAACACCGGUGGCGAAGGCGGCGUUCUGGACUGCAACUGACGCUGAGGAACGAAAGCCAGGGGAGCAAACGGG
Molecule: ribosomal RNA, 253 nt
Filed under: uncultured bacterium
Lineage: Bacteria
Description: partial 16S ribosomal RNA
Rfam family: Bacterial small subunit ribosomal RNA
Source: RNAcentral